This 1197-nucleotide ribosomal RNA is filed under the name Candidatus Magasanikbacteria bacterium RIFOXYB2_FULL_40_13. RNAcentral describes it as "partial 23S ribosomal RNA". The stretch from base 948 to 1193 matches the Rfam family "Bacterial large subunit ribosomal RNA", at positions 2655 to 2912 of the family's 2925-position model. The record is from RNAcentral. Lineage: Bacteria; Candidatus Magasanikiibacteriota.
GGUCCCAAGGGUUUGGCUGUUCGCCAAUUAAAGCGGUACGCGAGCUGGGUUCAGAACGUCGUGAGACAGUAAAAAUAAAAAACGAUGUUCAUAGAUGAACAAAUUCUUUUCGUAAAGUGCUUUGACAUAAGUCAAAGCAAAGACUGUGCUGUCUAUAAAUCUUACUAAUUGCUGGAAACUCUGAACAAGUCCAUGGGAGAGUUAGAGGACUUGGGUAUCUCACACUACUAUGGUAUAAUAGUGAUAUUAUGCAAAGUAAAAAUGUGUUGAGUGCAGACAAUCAGCAGGAAAGACCGCGAUUAAAUCAAUGGUAUAUAACCGGUUUUGUUGAUGGCGAAGGAAGUUUUCAUAUUGCUCUAUAUAAAGAUGAGAAUAUGAAGACAAAACUUAAAGUGAUUCCUGAAUUUCACAUUUCUCAAAACGCUUGUUCAAUUCAAGUGUUGGAAAGAAUACAAAAGUAUUUCAAGUGUGGAAAUAUAAAAGAGAAUCAUCGCCAGAGAAAAACUGAUAAUACCUAUGUGUUUGUGGUUCGAAAUCGACAAGAUUUGCUUGAGAAGAUUAUUCCGUUUUUUGAACGGUAUAAACUCCAAACAAGCAAAGCGAAAGAUUUUGAAUAUUUUUCUUCAAUCGUCAAAAUGAUGAAUGAAGGAAAACACCAAACGAAAUCGGGAAUCAAAGAAAUAAUAUCGUUGGCAUAUCAAAUGAAUGCCAAAGGUAAAAGAAGAAAAACAAAACAAACCGAUUUGAUAAAAAUUGCGGAAUCCUCAGAGACUAUACGUAAGACCCCGAAUUCUCCGCCAGAGGCGGAUAAGAAAACGGGAAAGAUAUAGUCCGAACUGUGCCGCGAGGUACAGAUCCCGACCAGGUCGGGACACCAUAGAGCAAAUCAGGAUACGGAUAUGGUCUGCAAAGUAACAGAAUUGUCGGUCUCCUAUCUGUUGUGGUCGACGAAUAUUGAAGGAGCUCAUUCCUAGUACGAGAGGACCGGAAUGGACAAACCUCUAGUGUACCAAUUGUCCUGCCAAGGGCAUCGUUGGGUAGCUACGUUUGGCGCAGAUAAGCGCUGAAAGCAUCUAAGCGCGAAGCUGUUCCUAAGAUAAAUAUUCAUUUAAGAUCUGUUCGAGACUAGAACGUUGAUAGGCACUAGGUGUAAGUUCCGUAAGGAAUUGAGCCGAGGUGUACUAAUCGAUCGAGCGU